Molecule: ribosomal RNA, 589 nt
Filed under: uncultured bacterium
Lineage: Bacteria
Description: bacterial SSU rRNA
Rfam family: Bacterial small subunit ribosomal RNA
Source: RNAcentral
CCUACGGGAGGCAGCAGUGGGGAAUCUUGCGCAAUGGGCGAAAGCCUGACGCAGCAACGCCGCGUGCGGGAAGAAGGCUUUCGGGCUGUAAACCGCUUUCAGCAGGAACGAAAAUGACGGUACCUGCAGAAGAAGGAGCGGCCAACUAUGUGCCAGCAGCCGCGGUGAUACAUAGGCUUCAAGCGUUGUCCGGAUUUAUUGGGCGUAAAGAGUUCGUAGGCGGUCGAGUAAGUCGGGUGUGAAAAUUCUGGGCUCAACCCAGAGACGCCACCCGAUACUGCUUAACUUGAGUUCGAUAGGGGAGUGGGGAAUUCCUAGUGUAACGGUGAAAUGCGCAGAUAUUAGGAGGAACACCGGUGGCGAAGGCGCCACUCUGGAUCGAUACUGACGCUGAGGAACGAAAGCAUGGGUAGCAAACAGGAUUAGAUACCCUGGUAGUCCAUGCCGUAAACGGUGGGCACUAGGUGUGGGAUUCUAUUAACGAAUUCCGCGCCGUCACUAACGCAUUAAGUGCCCCGCUGGGGAUCGGUCGCAAGACUAAACUUAAGGAAUUGACGGCNGAGACGNGCGACGACGACGACGAGGAGAG